This 342-nucleotide ribosomal RNA is filed under the name Triticum aestivum (bread wheat). Its description in RNAcentral is "partial small subunit ribosomal RNA". Lineage: Eukaryota; Viridiplantae; Streptophyta; Magnoliopsida; Poales; Poaceae. The record is from RNAcentral.
AUGAGGAUGACAAGCUGCCGGCGGAGCGUGGCCGUCGCUGCCGCCUUGGUGCUGCUGGCGUUCGGGUGCGGCAUGGUGGAGAGCCGCCGCCUGGCCAGGAUGGGCCUCGACAUUCACCUGGGCGCCGGCCUUGGAGUGGGAGGACGGGUGCCAGCGUCCGGGUCAGGAUCUGGUUCCGGCUCCGUGGCUGGAGCGGGCUCGACCGCUGCGUCUAGAUCAGGCUCAGCUUCUGUUCGAGGGGCCAGCUCGUCCGCUCGGUACAGUGUUGGAAGCUCGGGCCGCACUUGUAUAUAUAGAAAGGAUGCCAUGGCUUACAAGACGAGAUCGAGAGAUCGUUACUGA